ACCCGAAGGGGGAAUCUCUGUAGGGUAUGGGGGUGUGAUUUGUCGUCCAGGGGCGGGGUCGUUGGUCUAAGGCGAGCCACUCUAAAAGGAAGAAUGGGCGGGGCGGAAUUUGUCCCGUGUGGGCGUGGCUACCGAGCGAGGGGCGGGGCUUCGCCAAGCCCCACCCCCAGGCUGAAGCCCACACAACCAGGGGUCCAACGGGGGAGCCCAACGCCUCUUUGGACGGAUUACGAAGCUGAGACUUCCCCCGGGUGACGCUAGCUAGCUACCCGCCAUGUUAAUCCAGAGUCCCUCAGAAAAACAGAGAGGUGUCAGAGGGAUUUUGAAUGGAAAAGCUGAACAAAGAGAAACCAGAUCCUGCUGGAUAAAUCAGCAUUAAAAGGAAAGGAAGGAUGUUUAACCCUCAAAAUCCCUGACAUCUGGAACUAAAAACCUGCUUCAGCUGGGUGUCUGGAAGCACCAAAUGGUGUCCAAGAAGUCACUGCUGCUCUGCACCACUGGAACUCAACACUCCAGAUCUCAGGCAGGAGGCAAAGGGGGACACUGAGCCUGGGAACCACUCAGAUCCGGGGCUCCUGCUCCGUGAAGUCACCUCUUUGCAGGAAAAACAAUUACAGGCCUUGGAUGGAAGGGGGGUAGCAGUGAUUCAGAGCUGCCCCCAGGAUCCCGCCUUUGAACUGACACAAACCAAGGAACUUCUGGGAAAUGGCCAAAGCAAACAGGCUUGCCUCCCUCCCUCCAACAAAAGACCAGAGGUACUCAGAAGCUUGGACUCCCCUGAGCUCCCUCUAAAUAACAAGAAAAAGAAUAGACAGGCUGUUCCUACUCAGCCAUGGCUUGCAUUUUACAAAGGCGAGAGAAACAUCCCAUCACACUUAGGGUGAGGAGAAAGAGGAAGCAAGAGCAGACUCCUGCCAUGUGGCAGACUGAUCCCAGAGCAGAUACCCACCCUAAUGAGAAACUGGAUUCCAGCUAAGACAAAUACGGGUUUUUUAAAGCUCAUUCCACCACCAAAGCGGCCCCAGUAGACAGCAGUGUGGCCUUCUGACAUUGGCAUCCCUCAUCCCCUUUGAGCCUGGACUUUAUUGAACAUGGUUCUGCCUGUGGGCUAAAGAGCUCGCCCUAGCCUUAGCAUUCUCCACAUAAUGAGUGUGUCUCGUUUCUAUUUCUGUAGAAUUUGAUGAGGGAUGAUAACAGGGUAAUUGAAUUCGUUUUUUUUCUUUCGGUGCCAGCCUCCCUGCCCUCUGGCUCUGAGGUUUCAUGCAUUGUCCUCCUGGCUUUUUAAAUUUCCUUUCUUACAGUUGGCAUGGGAGGGGAGGGAAACUUUCUUACAUUUUAUCUUCCUGGGGAAUAAUAUCUAAUAUGUCCGUAGUAAAUGUGUGGACCAUGGGAUUUUAUAACUGGAAGGAUUCCAAAGAUAGUCUCCUUGUGCCAUAGAUUAGGAAAUUGUAGGCUCAGAAGAUGUAAGAAACUUCCUCAAAGUUUUGCUUCCCCACCCAGAAUUGGGAAAAGGGGUCAUUUGAGGGAGCAAAAUGAAUGAGGUCCUUAAAAAAGACAAUUCUUUUUCCCCUAAAUGUCACUAAACACAGUGACAUCACAUAGUCAAUGCUUACUAAAGGCUUGGCGACUGAUCUACCCAGGAUACCAGAGUGGUGCAGCAGAGAGAGCCCAGUAGUACUUACUACAA
Long non-coding RNA from Sarcophilus harrisii (Tasmanian devil), 1687 nucleotides. RefSeq lists it as uncharacterized. Lineage: Eukaryota; Metazoa; Chordata; Mammalia; Dasyuromorphia; Dasyuridae. The record is from RefSeq and is a predicted model, not a curated record. The transcript is spliced from 3 exons.